GUUCCCAAGAACCCUCUCUGACUCACGUCUGGUUACCCAGCUGUCUUCCCAGGACCAUAGCCUUUACACUCUUGUGUUUUCAUCUUUAGGGAAGAAUCUAGCCAGGACCUCUACUCACCUGUCGUGAUUAUCUACAUGAAGAUGCUGCUUAGUCAAGCAAGCUUGAGACCUGAGGCAAAGGCCUGGAGCUGGCCCGGGGCCCCAGGGACUAGACUGAACCCCAAAAGAAGCCAGACAUCAAGCUGCACCCUUGACACAAAGCAAAGAGCACGCCCUACAUGUGGAAUAUCUUCUGGAGGCUCCUCAUCAGUCUAUGUCCUUGUAACGUCCACUUACUGGAAAUGUUGCAUGAAUACUAGGCUCCUUCAUCACAGGACCCUAGAUGGCAGAGAGUCCCACUAAUUUGUGCCCAUGGCCAGCAAAUUUGCACCUCCUGCUCCCAAUGUAUCAGCCUGUCCUCGCUUCUUUCCUCCCUUUCUCUGUACUCUUGCCCCCUUCCCAUGUAUCAUCUCCUUCCUUCCUAGUUGUCCAACUGGGUAUAUGUACUCCAAGGCUUCAUCCUGGGCCCUCUUCCAUUUUCUCAUUAUGCUUUCUCACUUGGUGAAUUCAUCUCCCAUGAGUUUAAUUAUCUUCUCUGCGUAGACAGCUCUCAGACUGUCUUCCAAGCUCCAGACCCGCAUCACCAGAUGCCUAUUGGAUACCUCAAAGUGGAUGGCCCAUAGACAAAAAUUCAGCCUGCCUAAAACAGAACUCAGGAUCUUUCCCUCGAAAUCCUCCCCUCUUCCACACUUCCCUGUUACUCUCAAAGGCACCACUGUCCUUCCAGCCCCCCAAACUCACACUGUCAUUGUCAUCCUUUCUUCCUCAUUCUCACUCAUGCCACAAAUCUAAUCAGCUGACGGAUCUCAUUAUAUUUUUCCCCAUUUCCAAUGUCUUCUCUCCACUAACACCGCAGCCUCCCCUGGUGCAAACCCAGGUCUUCCAGACUUCAGGCACAGGGCUCCGUGCACUGUGGCAGAGGUGUCCAACAGAUAAAAACGGGGGCUGCUAAACCCUCUGGAAGAUCCCUGCAGACUACACCUUGAUUUAGAAGAACACAUAUUGAUGUCAUCUCUGUUUUAUUGGAUUUUAUUUGCUGAAUAUUUCCUAAUUAACAUGGUAAUCUGGUUCAGACCACACUCAGGAGUGUUGUCAGCCACAUGUGGCUCGGGGACCACAUGUUUGACACCUCUGUGCUGUGGCACAGGGCCACUCCAGUGGUAGAGUGGACAGAGUCCUGGGCCUGGAGUCAGAAAGAUCUGAGUUCAAAUCCCGCCUAGCUGUGUGACCCUGGACGAGUCACUUCACCUCUGUUUGCCUCAAUUUCCUCAUCUAUAAAAUGAGGAUCAUAACAGUAACAUCCCCCCAGAGCUGUGAGGAUCAAAUAAGAUAUUUGUAAAGUUCCUGGCACAGUGCCUGGCUCACAGGUGAUACUUAAUAAAUGCUUGUUCCUUUUUCCCUCUUGUUUCCCC
Molecule: long non-coding RNA, 1511 nt
Filed under: Vombatus ursinus (common wombat)
Lineage: Eukaryota; Metazoa; Chordata; Mammalia; Diprotodontia; Vombatidae
Description: lncRNA (ENSVURG00010023447.1)
Source: RNAcentral